AGCAUGAAGUCAGCUUGCUGACUUGAUGGCGACCGGCGCACGGGUGCGUAACACGUAUCCAAUCUACCCAUCUGGCUCGGGGGAUAGCCUUUCGAAAGAAAGAUUAAUACCCGAUGGUUUCGUUUUUUCGCAUGAGAAGAUGAAUAAAGAUUUAUCGGCGAUGGAUGAGGAUGCGUCCGAUUAGCUUGUUGGCGGGGUAACGGCCCACCAAGGCGACGAUCGGUAGGGGCUCUGAGAGGAGGAUCCCCCACAUUGGAACUGAGACACGGUCCAAACUCCUACGGGAGGCAGCAGUGAGGAAUAUUGGUCAAUGGGCGCGAGCCUGAACCAGCCAAGUAGCCGUGAGGGACGACUGCCCUAUGGGUUGUAAACCUCUUUUGUUUGGGAAUAAAGUGAGCCACGUAUGGCUUUUUGUAUGUACCUUACGAAUAAGCAUCGGCUAAUUCCGUGCCAGCCGCCGC
This 461-nucleotide ribosomal RNA is filed under the name uncultured bacterium. RNAcentral describes it as "bacterial SSU rRNA". It matches the Rfam family "Bacterial small subunit ribosomal RNA", at positions 66 to 518 of the family's 1533-position model. The record is from RNAcentral.